GACGGGGAGCACCACAACGGGUGGAGCUUGCGGUUUAAUUGGAUUCAACGCCGGAAAUCUUACCGGGACCGACAGCAAUAUGAAGGCCAGGCUGAAGACUUUGCCGGAUUAGCUGAGAGGUGGUGCAUGGCCGUCGUCAGUUCGUACUGUGAAGCAUCCUGUUAAGUCAGGCAACGAGCGAGACCCACGCCCACAGUUGCCAGCGUACUCUCUGGAGUGACGGGUACACUGUGGGGACCGCCGCUGCUAAAGCGGAGGAAGGAAUGGGCAACGGUAGGUCAGCAUGCCCCGAAUUAUCUGGGCUACACGCGGGCUACAAUGGGUGGGACAAUGGGUAUCGACACCGAAAGGUGACGGCAAUCUCCUAAACCCAUCCUUAGUUCGGAUUGUGGGCUGCAACUCGCCCACAUGAAGCUGGAAUCUGUAGUAAUCGUGUUUCAAAAUAGCACGGUGAAUAUGUCCCUGCUCCUU
RNAcentral lists this ribosomal RNA (471 nucleotides) under uncultured Methanolinea sp. RNAcentral describes it as "bacterial SSU rRNA". It matches the Rfam family "Archaeal small subunit ribosomal RNA", at positions 871 to 1337 of the family's 1478-position model. Lineage: Archaea; Methanobacteriati; Methanobacteriota; Methanomicrobia; Methanomicrobiales; Methanoregulaceae. The record is from RNAcentral.